AAGUGGCGGCUCUUGUGACUGUUGGAAGCAACCAAUUCACCGGCAUCGUUAUUAGCGCCCGUCACUUCACUUCACUUCACUUCAUAAGUGAAGUUAAAGAGGAGCUAAUCGACCCAUCACUGCUGCCUGUUGUGUUUGUGGCGGCUGACGUUUGAAGGUUUUUAGACAGCACUACAGGAGAACUGCCUUGUCACCAGAAAAAUGUUUGAGACUGGUAUGGCUAUACUGAGGCCAGGAGCCCCCAAUCAUCCGUAAUUUUCACUCUAACAUACAUCUGUUUUUUGCAUAACAACCAAGAUAAGACUAAAAUUUUACCCAUGUGUUAGGCAAAUAGCAUGCACCAAUAUAUGUGUUGCUUGAUUAUCAGAUUUUACACAAGACUGUCUGUCACAUUCAAGCCUCUGCUAAAGAUUUAAGGUGAAUCACCUUAGACGCAAAUAAAUGAUUGAUAUCUCUUGGAAAUUCA
Pygocentrus nattereri (red-bellied piranha) is the source of this 466-nucleotide long non-coding RNA. RefSeq lists it as uncharacterized. NCBI's taxonomy places the organism in Eukaryota, Metazoa, Chordata, Actinopteri, Characiformes, Serrasalmidae. The record is from RefSeq and is a predicted model, not a curated record. The transcript is spliced from 2 exons.